GGCUCUGUGGCGGUUGGUCCGCGUCUGCAUUAAGUUCAUACUUUCCAUUUGUUCAGUGAUGUAGAAGACGCUUGUUCGAAUCGAGCCGGAGCCA
Mycena polygramma is the source of this 94-nucleotide non-coding RNA. NCBI's taxonomy places the organism in Eukaryota, Fungi, Basidiomycota, Agaricomycetes, Agaricales, Mycenaceae. The record is from the annotation of a GenBank genome assembly.